This 442-nucleotide ribosomal RNA is filed under the name uncultured bacterium. Its description in RNAcentral is "partial 16S ribosomal RNA". It matches the Rfam family "Bacterial small subunit ribosomal RNA", at positions 338 to 795 of the family's 1533-position model. The record is from RNAcentral.
CCUACGGGAGGCAGCAGUGGGGAAUAUUGGGCAAUGGGCGCAAGCCUGACCCAGCAACGCCGCGUGAAGGAAGAAGGCUUUCGGGUUGUAAACUUCUUUUGACAGGGAAGAGUAGAAGACGGUACCUGUCGAAUAAGCCACGGCUAACUACGUGCCAGCAGCCGCGGUAAUACGUAGGUGGCAAGCGUUGUCCGGAUUUACUGGGUGUAAGGGGCGUGUAGCCGGGUUGACAAGUCAGAUGUGAAAUCCUGCGGCUUAACCGCAGAACUGCAUUUGAAACUGUUGAUCUGGAGUACUGGAGAGGCAGACGGAAUUCCUGGGGUAGGGGUGAAAGGCGUAGAUAGUAGGAGGACACCCAGUGGAGAAGGCGGUCUGCUGGACAGAAACUGAGGGUGAGGCGCGAAAGGGUGGGGAGCAAACAGGAUUAGAUACCCUAGUAGUC